Long non-coding RNA from Apus apus (common swift), 319 nucleotides. RefSeq lists it as uncharacterized. NCBI's taxonomy places the organism in Eukaryota, Metazoa, Chordata, Aves, Apodiformes, Apodidae. The record is from RefSeq and is a predicted model, not a curated record. The transcript is spliced from 2 exons.
GGUCCUGCGAUCGCUGCCCGGGUGCUGGGAGAGGGACAGCGGGAAGGACGACGAAAUCCCAGAUCGUUCUCUCUUCACCAGCGAACCCAGCACAGUUACCGGCAGAAAAACUUACAGGCAGGGUCACCCCGCCUGAGUCACCGACGGUGACGGAAAGCGGCGACCGAGCCCUGUCCCGGGAUCGCCCCCCGCGCUGCCUGCGGCCUGCCUGGAAACCGAGGGGGAGAAAAGGGGGGGUGAUACCAAGCCCAAAACCACCCGGGACAGUUUUAUUCCGAGCUUUCCAUAAACUGUCCUGAAAUAAAGUGAAGACACUCCG